ACCAAAAAACUCAUGCAUUCUUAAAGAAGUAAAAAACAAAAAAAGACCCCAAGUCUAGAAUUAUUUAGUAGAAAUAUGUCGGAUAUGAAAGAACCCACGAUUAAGCUUAUGGGAAAGACUAUUCAAUCAGCUGGUGACCAACAACGCAAGUAUAAUUCUAAGGGGGCUCAUCAUCAUCAGGUCUUCCUAUACGAAGGUGAUGAAAACGAGAUUGGAAAAAAAGCGUUGGCUAAUUUGCGAGCCAACCCUGCAGCCAUGUCAAGAUCAAUUAACUUCCACGAAAUGUCAUAGCUUGCUAUCAACUUGGAAACCUUAUUAGCUAGGUUGAUAAUUUGAGAAGCUUUUGUUGUGCGUAAUCAAAGAAAAAAUAAACUAGUCGACCUAGCUUAUUGGAAUUAAAGAAACAAAGAAAAAAAAAAGUGUAUCAAUAUAGUUAGAGAGAAAAUGGUGAUUAGUAGGUGAAAAGAUUCCAAAAGUGUUCAUAUUCUACUACUCAUUAGUGAUUAAUUAUAUGGAGUGACCUUGUUUUCUUUA
This is a long non-coding RNA of Erigeron canadensis, 534 nucleotides long. RefSeq lists it as uncharacterized. The transcript has 2 exons. Lineage: Eukaryota; Viridiplantae; Streptophyta; Magnoliopsida; Asterales; Asteraceae. The record is from RefSeq and is a predicted model, not a curated record.